RNAcentral lists this ribosomal RNA (422 nucleotides) under uncultured bacterium. RNAcentral describes it as "bacterial SSU rRNA". It matches the Rfam family "Bacterial small subunit ribosomal RNA", at positions 355 to 775 of the family's 1533-position model. The record is from RNAcentral.
UAGGGAAUAUUGGUCAAUGGAUGCAAGUCUGAACCAGCCAUGCCGCGUGCAGGAAGAAGGCCUUCUGGGUCGUAAACUGCUUUUGCCGGGGGAUAAAAUUCCCAUGCGUGGGACAUUGAAGGUACCCGGUGAAUAAGCCACGGCUAACUACGUGCCAGCAGCCGCGGUAAUACGUAGGUGGCAAGCGUUGUCCGGAUUUAUUGGGUUUAAAGGGUGCGUAGGCGGCCUUAUAAGUCAGUGCUGAAAUACUCUAGCUUAACUAGAGGGGUGGCAUUGAUACUGUAGGGCUUGAGUAUAGUCGAGGUAGGCGGAAUUGACGGUGUAGCGGUGAAAUGCUUAGAUAUCGUCAAGAACACCGAUAGUGUAGACAGCUUACUAGGCUAUAACUGACGCUGAGGCACGAAAGUGUGGGGAUCAAACAG